Molecule: ribosomal RNA, 1231 nt
Filed under: Bacillus velezensis
Lineage: Bacteria; Bacillati; Bacillota; Bacilli; Caryophanales; Bacillaceae
Description: bacterial SSU rRNA
Rfam family: Bacterial small subunit ribosomal RNA
Source: RNAcentral
ACGUGGGUAACCUGCCUGUAAGACUGGGAUAACUCCGGGAAACCGGGGCUAAUACCGGAUGGUUGUCUGAACCGCAUGGUUCAGACAUAAAAGGUGGCUUCGGCUACCACUUACAGAUGGACCCGCGGCGCAUUAGCUAGUUGGUGAGGUAACGGCUCACCAAGGCGACGAUGCGUAGCCGACCUGAGAGGGUGAUCGGCCACACUGGGACUGAGACACGGCCCAGACUCCUACGGGAGGCAGCAGUAGGGAAUCUUCCGCAAUGGACGAAAGUCUGACGGAGCAACGCCGCGUGAGUGAUGAAGGUUUUCGGAUCGUAAAGCUCUGUUGUUAGGGAAGAACAAGUGCCGUUCAAAUAGGGCGGCACCUUGACGGUACCUAACCAGAAAGCCACGGCUAACUACGUGCCAGCAGCCGCGGUAAUACGUAGGUGGCAAGCGUUGUCCGGAAUUAUUGGGCGUAAAGGGCUCGCAGGCGGUUUCUUAAGUCUGAUGUGAAAGCCCCCGGCUCAACCGGGGAGGGUCAUUGGAAACUGGGGAACUUGAGUGCAGAAGAGGAGAGUGGAAUUCCACGUGUAGCGGUGAAAUGCGUAGAGAUGUGGAGGAACACCAGUGGCGAAGGCGACUCUCUGGUCUGUAACUGACGCUGAGGAGCGAAAGCGUGGGGAGCGAACAGGAUUAGAUACCCUGGUAGUCCACGCCGUAAACGAUGAGUGCUAAGUGUUAGGGGGUUUCCGCCCCUUAGUGCUGCAGCUAACGCAUUAAGCACUCCGCCUGGGGAGUACGGUCGCAAGACUGAAACUCAAAGGAAUUGACGGGGGCCCGCACAAGCGGUGGAGCAUGUGGUUUAAUUCGAAGCAACGCGAAGAACCUUACCAGGUCUUGACAUCCUCUGACAAUCCUAGAGAUAGGACGUCCCCUUCGGGGGCAGAGUGACAGGUGGUGCAUGGUUGUCGUCAGCUCGUGUCGUGAGAUGUUGGGUUAAGUCCCGCAACGAGCGCAACCCUUGAUCUUAGUUGCCAGCAUUCAGUUGGGCACUCUAAGGUGACUGCCGGUGACAAACCGGAGGAAGGUGGGGAUGACGUCAAAUCAUCAUGCCCCUUAUGACCUGGGCUACACACGUGCUACAAUGGACAGAACAAAGGGCAGCGAAACCGCGAGGUUAAGCCAAUCCCACAAAUCUGUUCUCAGUUCGGAUCGCAGUCUGCAACUCGACUGCGUGAAGCUGGAAU